CGGCGUGCCUAAAUCAUGCAAGUCGAGCGGAAUGAUGAAGAAGCUUUGCUUUCUUCUGAUUUUUAGCGGCGGACGGGUGAGUAACACGUGGGCAACCUACCUUGUAGAUUGGGAUAACUCCGGGAAACCGGGGCUAAUACCGAAUAAUCCAUUUUGCUUUCAUGGCGAGAUGUUGAAAGACGGUUUCGGCUGUCACUACAAGAUGGGCCCGCGGCGCAUUAGCUAGUUUGGUAGGGGUAAUGGCCUACCAAGGCGACGAUGCGUAGCCGACCUGAGAGGGUGAUCGGCCACACUGGGACUGAGACACGGCCCAGACUCCUACGGGAGGCAGCAGUAGGGAAUCUUCCACAAUGGACGAAAGUCUGAUGGAGCAACGCCGCGUGAGUGAAGAAGGUUUUCGGAUCGUAAAACUCUGUUGUAAGGGAAGAACACGUACGAGAGUAACUGCUCGUACCUUGACGGUACCUUAUUAGAAAGCCACGGCUAACUACGUG
This 494-nucleotide ribosomal RNA is filed under the name uncultured bacterium. Its description in RNAcentral is "bacterial SSU rRNA". It matches the Rfam family "Bacterial small subunit ribosomal RNA", at positions 40 to 507 of the family's 1533-position model. The record is from RNAcentral.